UACGUAGGGUGCAAGCGUUGUCCGGAAUUAUUGGGCGUAAAGAGCUUGUAGGCGGUUUGUCGCGUCUGCUGUGAAAUUUCGGGGCUCAACCCCGAACUUGCAGUGGGUACGGGCAGACUAGAGUGUGGUAGGGGAGACUGGAAUUCCUGGUGUAGCGGUGAAAUGCGCAGAUAUCAGGAGGAACACCGAUGGCGAAGGCAGGUCUCUGGGCCACUACUGACGCUGAGACGCGACGGCGUGGGGAGCAAACCGG
RNAcentral lists this ribosomal RNA (253 nucleotides) under uncultured bacterium. RNAcentral describes it as "partial 16S ribosomal RNA". It matches the Rfam family "Bacterial small subunit ribosomal RNA", at positions 524 to 776 of the family's 1533-position model. The record is from RNAcentral.